This 1977-nucleotide ribosomal RNA is filed under the name Triticum aestivum (bread wheat). RNAcentral's name for it is "partial small subunit ribosomal RNA". Lineage: Eukaryota; Viridiplantae; Streptophyta; Magnoliopsida; Poales; Poaceae. The record is from RNAcentral.
AUGGCAACUGCUCCGCGGCGCCUUCUCCUGCUUCUCCUCGCCGCCGUUGCCAUGUCCUCCUCUUGCGUCGGCGUCGCUGUAGCAGAGGGACAGACAUACUGGCCAUUUAAUCCUUACUGCUCGACCACGGGCAACUACACAGGGGAUAGCCGGUACCGGCUGAAUCUUCUGGCUCUCGUGGCCGACCUCCCGGCGCGUGCCAUCGACAAUCGCUUCUACUACAACGGCACGGCCGGCGAAUCGCCGGACGAGGUGUUCGGUCUCAUCGCGUGCUAUGCCGACCGCAGCUGGAACCAGUGCCACGACUGCCUCUACGCCGCGGUUUCCGGGAUACAGCAGUCGUGCCCGUUCAGCCGGCAGAUGAAGGGCGCCUACGACUCGUGCCUUCUCCGCUACUCCAACGAAUCCUUCGUCUCCGUCGCCGACCUCACCGUCGCCUUCUACUCGUGGGACUACACCAAGGUGGACUAUCCGGCCAGCAUGAACAACACGAGGUGGGAUCUGCUCACCCGGCUAGCGGCGGAGGCCGCGCGUUCGCCGCUGCGGCUCGCCAACGGUAGCGUGCCGUAUUCGCCGACGAGCAUCCACGGUCUGGUGCAGUGCACGAGGGACCUGAACGCAAGCGAGUGCAGCAGGUGCCUUACCAAAUUCGUGUCAAACCUCUCGAGUGUGUUCCCUAACAACACCGGUGGUUUGAUAAAGGGCUACAGCUGCUACGCCAUAUACAACAUCGGCGACGGCGAGUUCCUCCGUGUCACUCUUCCACCGCCACUUGCACAGCCACCGCCGUCCAAUAUCUCACCAGAAGCUCCGCCACUUGCCACCGGCCGGACUAGGAGCAGGAAGCAGCUGGUGGCCGGCGUGUCUGCUGGUGUCGUCGUUGGGUUCGUCAUCUCAUCAAGUCUCUUGAUUUGUUUCCUUUUGCGCUGUCGGAGGCGAAAUCGCAUGGCGAGUCAAGUAGAUACUUUUGAUGAUGAUCCAUUGGGAGAUGAGUUCGAGAAAGGGACCGGGCCCAAGCGGUUUCGGUAUAAUGAUCUUGCCGCCGCCACUAGCAACUUCUCUGACGAGAAGAAGCUAGGUGAAGGUGGCUUCGGUUCCGUGUACAAAGGAUUCUUGAAGGAGCUUAAAGUUGAGGUGGCUAUAAAAAGAGUGUCCAAAACCUCCAAGCAGGGGAGGAAGGAGUACAUCUCAGAGGUGAAAAUCAUAAGCCGGCUGAGACAUCGAAACCUCGUACAACUCAUUGGCUGGUGCCAUGGCGGCGGCGAGCUCUUGCUUGUUUACGAUCUUAUGCCCCACGGCAGCCUAGACACUCACCUUUACAGUUCAAACGCCACAUUAUCGUGGCCACUCAGGUAUGAGAUCGUGUUGGGGUUAGGGUCGGCACUUUUGUACCUGCAUCAGGACUGGGAGCAAUGUGUUCUGCACCGUGACAUCAAGCCAAGCAACAUCAUGUUAGACGCGUCUUUCUGUGCCAAACUUGGCGAUUUUGGGCUCGCGCGGCUUGUCGACCACGGCCGAGGACCAUACACAACAGGUCUUGCAGGAACAAUGGGCUACAUGGACCCUGAGUGCGUGGUCACCGGAAGGACUAGCGCUGAGUCUGAUGUCUACAGCUUCGGCGUUGUCAUGCUCGAGAUCGCCUGCGGGAAGCGGCCCGCGGUUGCUCGGGGACGAGAGGAUAUCAUCCAUCUAGUGCAAUGGGUCUGGGAUUCAUGGGAACACGGAAGGACCCUUGAUGCGGCCGAUGCGCAGCUCAACCUAGAGUUCGACGACCGGGAGAUGGAGUGCAUGGUGGUGGUCGGGCUCUGGUGCGCGCACCCUGACCGGAGCCUGAGGCCGUCCAUCAAGCAAGCUAUGAACGUGCUACGAUUUGAGGCGCCUCUGCCAAGCCUUCCAGCAAAGAUGCCCGUCGCGACAUUUACGGCGGCAAUUGAUUCUUCAUUAGUUUCCGCAUCUGAGCUUUCAGGUGGCAGAUGA